RNAcentral lists this ribosomal RNA (868 nucleotides) under Pantoea agglomerans. Its description in RNAcentral is "bacterial SSU rRNA". It matches the Rfam family "Bacterial small subunit ribosomal RNA", at positions 583 to 1445 of the family's 1533-position model. The record is from RNAcentral. Lineage: Bacteria; Pseudomonadati; Pseudomonadota; Gammaproteobacteria; Enterobacterales; Erwiniaceae.
UUAAAGUCAGAUGUGAAAUCCCCCGGGCNUUAANCNGGGAACUGCAUUUGAAACUGGGCAGGCUUGAGUCUUGUAGAGGGGGGUAGNAAUUCCAGGUGUAGCGGUGAAAUGCGUAGAGAUCUGGAGGAAUACCGGUGGCGAAGGCGGCCCCCUGGACAAAGACUGACGCUCAGGUGCGAAAGCGUGGGGAGCAAACAGGAUUAGAUACCCCUGGUAGUCCACGCCGUAAACGAUGUCGACUUGGAGGUUGUUCCCUUGAGGAGUGGCUUCCGGAGCUAACGCGUUAAGUCGACCGCCUGGGGAGUACGGCCGCAAGGUUAAAACUCAAAUGAAUUGACGGGGGCCCGCACAAGCGGUGGAGCAUGUGGUUUAAUUCGAUGCAACGCGAAGAACCUUACCUACUCUUGACAUCCACGGAAUUCGGCAGAGAUGCCUUAGUGCCUUCGGGAACCGUGAGACAGGUGCUGCAUGGCUGUCGUCAGCUCGUGUUGUGAAAUGUUGGGUUAAGUCCCGCAACGAGCGCAACCCUUAUCCUUUGUUGCCAGCGAUUCGGUCGGGAACUCAAAGGAGACUGCCGGUGAUAAACCGGAGGAAGGUGGGGAUGACGUCAAGUCAUCAUGGCCCUUACGAGUAGGGCUACACACGUGCUACAAUGGCGCAUACAAAGAGAAGCGACCUCGCGAGAGCAAGCGGACCUCACAAAGUGCGUCGUAGUCCGGAUCGGAGUCUGCAACUCGACUCCGUGAAGUCGGAAUCGCUAGUAAUCGUGGAUCAGAAUGCCACGGUGAAUACGUUCCCGGGCCUUGUACACACCGCCCGUCACACCAUGGGAGUGGGUUGCAAAAGAAGUAGGUAGCUUAACCUUCGG